Long non-coding RNA from Strigops habroptila (Kakapo), 1447 nucleotides. RefSeq lists it as uncharacterized. Lineage: Eukaryota; Metazoa; Chordata; Aves; Psittaciformes; Psittacidae. The record is from RefSeq and is a predicted model, not a curated record. The transcript has 2 exons.
CCGGUCCUCCUCCGGCUGCGGCGGGGAUCCUCUUCCCGCCCGGUAGACGGGCACCGCGGUGUGCAGCCGGCGGGGGUAAAACUUUGCCCGCUCCCUCCCCCUCCCCGCACCCCUCAGGGUUUCGGCUCGCUCCCCGGCGGCUUCUCCGGGGCGUCUCUUCUUUUCGCAGGCAAGAACCCCCAUUAGCUCGCCCCGAGGUGCGGGAUCGGGGAAGCGGUGAGACACUACUGUCGCGCCGAAGGAGCCGCGCUGAGCCCCCGCUAGUCUUUCUAAGGCUUGUCCAAACCCUCGCCUAGCGAGACCCCGACGAGGUUUUAAGGACGCCGUGACAAACUCUCGCCGACCCAGGAUACCCGCGGGUGGCACCGGGAGGGCCGUGCUGGAGUGUCCGCCGUCGGGGCUCCGUGGGUGAGGGGGACCCAGGAGCGGAUGGGGUCCCCUCCGGCUGCCUGUCAAGCGGCGCUUUACCGUGAGAGGUCCUCGCGUUUGCGUGGAUAUGCGUGUAAUUGGGUGCUCUUACAGCUCGGAUUUCAUUCGGAUUAAUUAGGUAGGGGGUCUGCGUGAAACAUUAGCACCUAUUUAACAUGCAUUGGCGGAGAGCAUUGAAAUUAUGCUUCAGGCUUGAAUUUUAUCUACAUUUCUCUGUCUCUUUGCAAGUAACAGUAAAGAGCUGCUGCCUCGCAGUACUCAGUUGCUCUCCUUUGGGAGUUCAAGUGUUCAGUCUCCUCGUGAGAGCAGCUGAAAGGACAGGAAGGUCUGAGGACGAUGAAGGCAACGUCAGUGCCCUCUUUUGGUAGGGCAUUGGUGAAAGAAGCCCUCUCUGGGCUGCCCGGCUGCAAUGCCCUCAUGCAGUAGAAGUAGAUCCACGAAGUAGUAAUCAAAAGAUGAAGAGGUAAGGGGGAAGAAGUCCUUCAAAAAUGGAGAAAUGGGAGAGGAAGGAAGGGCAAGUUCUCAAGAAGAAAGCUAAGUUUGCCCAAGAGAAGAGGCAAAAAAGGAAGGAAAGGAAGAAGAGGGGAAGUUAAAUAGAAGUUUUAAAAAGCAAAUAGAUGACAGAAAAAGGAUGUGUUGAGGGAGAGCUGAGAGGGAGAUACUGUGGUCUAAGGAAGGAGAUGAGGUGGGGCUUGGGGCAUGGGACACUUGGAAGUUACAGGAGUUUAAUCCGAUCAAGACUCAGAGUAGGGCAGCAAAGAUGCAGAACAUUACUUUUUCCAUGUGGGAAAGCCAGCUGCCAGGGCUUUGACCACCAAGUAUCUUCACUUGUGGGAGCAAAAUGGAAAAUCGGGUUAAUCUGAUGUUUUGCUGACGUUUUGUAACAAGCAGCUUGUUUGUCUCCUUCUUUUUUCCUUUUUUCUUUUUUUUUUUUUUUUUUUGGAGGGGGGGCGUGGGAGAGAGGUGAAAACAGCUCUGAAAGAUCAUGGAAAAAUAAAAUAAGCCUGAAUGAAGUUGA